GACGAACCCUGGCGGCGUGCCUAAUACAUGCAAGUAGAACGCACAGUUUAUACCGUAGCUUGCUACACCAUAGACUGUGAGUUGCGAACGGGUGAGUAACGCGUAGGUAACCUGCCUGGUAGCGGGGGAUAACUAUUGGAAACGAUAGCUAAUACCGCAUAAUAUUAAUUAUUGCAUGAUAAUUAAUUGAAAGGUGCAAUUGCACCACUACCAGAUGGACCUGCGUUGUAUUAGCUAGUAGGUGAGGUAACGGCUCACCUAGGCGACGAUACAUAGCCGACCUGAGAGGGUGAUCGGCCACACUGGGACUGAGACACGGCCCAGACUCCUACGGGAGGCAGCAGUAGGGAAUCUUCGGCAAUGGACGAAAGUCUGACCGAGCAACGCCGCGUGAGUGAAGAAGGUUUUCGGAUCGUAAAGCUCUGUUGUAAGAGAAGAACGGGUGUGAGAGUGGAAAGUUCACACUGUGACGGUAUCUUACCAGAAAGGGACGGCUAACUACGUG
Molecule: ribosomal RNA, 505 nt
Filed under: uncultured bacterium
Lineage: Bacteria
Description: partial 16S ribosomal RNA
Rfam family: Bacterial small subunit ribosomal RNA
Source: RNAcentral